This is a long non-coding RNA of Helianthus annuus (common sunflower), 1966 nucleotides long. RefSeq lists it as uncharacterized. The record is from RefSeq and is a predicted model, not a curated record. The transcript has 5 exons. Lineage: Eukaryota; Viridiplantae; Streptophyta; Magnoliopsida; Asterales; Asteraceae.
AUAGAGGGCAUAUCAGUAAAUAGAGGUACACCUCUCCUCCACGUCUGAUAAGUGAUUCAAGCAAACCCUAAACCUACUCCACCUCCACACACACCGCCGAUUACAUGGAGAGAGAACGAUGAGAGAGAUCAGAAAGGAGAGAGAGAACGGUGUGUGUCGGAACGGCGGCGUUGCCUAUCACUGGUGGUGUGGUGGUGACUAGAGAAAUUAUCAGUGUGUGGUGGUGCCGGAUUCACGGUGCGGUUCCGGUGGUGACGGAAUCAGGGUGCGGUUCCGGUGGUGAUUAGCGGCGUAGAGAAGAUGCUAGGGUUCCGGUGAAGGUCGGGCAAAAUUACGGUACCACGGGUGUCGGGAUCAACAUGAACAGACGACACCACGGGUGUCGGGAUCUCUGCCGGUGAGAGAUCUGAAAGUUUUAGGGUUCCGACGAGUCAGCUUAGCUCCGGUGAGAACCUGCUUUCCUGAACCAGUGUUUAUGAAAAAGGGGAACGCAUCCGACAAGCACAAUAGGUUGUGGUGCAUCUAGAGGGCGGUGUUCAUAUCAAUCGGUGGUGUUCGAUUGUCUAUUAGGGCAGUGCAUUUGUCAUCAACAAGGAGUCAACUGAUUGGAGUUUGACUGAAUCUGAGUUUUCGAUAGUACUUUAUGCUGGAAGAUUGUUUUCGUUGUGUCAUUCAAUGGAUACUUCUUGCCAAGUUUUUAGGUAACUUUAACUUCCUUAUUUUCUUCUUGCUUUUAUUGAUUUGAAGAUUCCAUGCUUCUGAUCCUUAUUUUCUUCUUAGGUGUAUUGUUAGGCUAUAGGGUGUGGUCAUGACCCUUAUGACCAUCAUGACCCUCCAUGUUAGUGCCAUGUAACCCACCUCUAUUCCACCAUCCAAAACCACUAUCCUAAGGGUGUGGUCAUGACCCAAACCACUAGCCCCUUAUUUAUUUUAAUUUAUCUUUGUUUAAAGAGAAAAAAGGAAAUGAUUUGUUGAAAAAUGGAAAAGAGGGUCAUGGUUGCCAUGGUUUAAUCCAUGCAAACCAUGGUGGAUCAAUCAAGGGGGUGGUGUAGUCUUCUAUUUAUGUUCCUAGGUGGCAAAUCAUGUACCAACCAUGACCCCCACACCCUAUAGCCUUACAAUGGCACCUUGAUUUCCACAUAAAGUAAAAGAAUAAAGUAUCUAUAAUUUUUUUUCUAUAAUUCUUUUAAACGAUUUCAUGUGAAAUCUACAAAGAGUCUUGAAAAGUAACUGUGCUUCAAUCAAAAAUAUAUUAUAUUAGAAGGUUAUAUGUAUAUGCAAACCUAAGUAGUUGAUGAUAUUCGAGUAAAGCAUUAUUGUAUAAUGUGUUUAUAGUAAGAAAAGUCUUUGGUAGUUGAUCAUGAACUUUAGAAGAGUGUUGUUCUUUCAAUGUAACGAAAAAGUAUAUGGAUAUUGCAUAAGAUAGAAAAGAGCUUUUACUAGAGUUACAUGUCCUGAAAAGACAUUAAGGUAUGAUUUACACUUAUGAGGGGGUGAUUGUUGAUAAUCAUAUUGUUACCGAGCCGAUUACUUUACUAAAAUCGACAGAAGAGGAGGGAUGGUCAUCCGGCGGUAUGAUGGUGAGUUUGCGGGUUCCGGCGAGGCAGUGAUUGACCAAGAUAAUUUGAAAACUUUCUGUGGUCAUAAAGUAUAGAUGUGGAACUCCAGGAACUGCCAAGAAGAAAGGAAUAACAUGAUCAGGAACAUACAUUCAAGAACUGAAGUGUUCGUAGUAAUUAAGAUCGUCGUAGAGUAUUAUUGGCGACAUAUCAUGUGAUUACACCAAGAAUGAUUUGGUUUAGCAUGAUCGUGUUAUGAGUUGUGAUGUCAAACGUACACACCAAGAAUGAUUAAGUUUAGCAUCAUUGUGUUAUGAGUUGUGAUGUAAAGCGUACACACUAAGAAUGAUUGAUCCGGUUUAGCAAAGAAUGAUUUGGUUGAGUGCGCCGUAACGCGGCGCUGCGCA